GUAGCACCGUGUCAUCAUUCCGGUGACUACUUUCUUUUAUCUAAUUUAUGUAGCACCGUGCCAUCUUUCCGGUGACUACUUUUUCAUAUUUAAUUUGUGUAGCACCGUGCCAUCCUUCCUGUGACUAUCUUUUUCAUAUUUAAUUUGUGUAACACCGUGCCAUCCUUCGGUGACUACUUUUAAUUUUUCAUAUCUGGUUUAUGUAGCACCGUGCCAUCCUUCCGGUGACUAUCUUUUUUUGCAUAUCUGAUUUGCGUAGCACAGUGCAUCUCUCCGAACUACUUUUCAUAUUUAAUUUGUGUAGUACUGUGGAUUUUUCCAAACUACUUUCUCAUAACUGAGUAGCAUAGCAUCAUGUGUCUUUUCACUGACUCCUCAGAUUUGAUUUGCAUAGUUCCAUUCGUCUUUCCGAUUACUCCUCAAAUCUAAUUUGCAUAGGGUUGUGCCAUCAUUCCAACCCUACCUGUAUAAUUUCUCUUUUUUAGUAGGAUUGUGUCAUCAUUCUAAUCCCACCUAUAUUAUUUCUCUUUUUCAAUAGGGUCGUGCCAUCAAUCCGACCUUUCCUAUAUAAUUUCUAUUUUCUAGUUGGGUCGUGACAUCAUUUCGACCCUACCCAUAUAAUAUUAUUUGUUAGAUUGUGAUCACUUUCAACCAUCAAAUCUAAUACUCCAACGUAUGAGCAUGUUCCGACCAAUUUUUUCGGUAACUUUCUUGUUUAAUAUCGACUCACUAUUGAUUCCAAUAUGAUCCAUAUACUUUAUACCAGAUUUUGAGCACUUUGUUGCUCAGGGGGAGUUUAGUAGCCAUGUAUGUUGAUUACGUAAGUCACUCUAUGGUUUGAAACAGUCUUUGCAAGCUUGGUUUGGGAUGUUCCAACACUAUAAUUUUAGCACUCCGUGUUUUAUCGGCAUUAUGCAUCAAAUUCAGUAUUUCAUGAGAAGACCAAGCACAUUGAGAUUGAUUGUCAAUUUUGUGAAGUCGAGUGAUCAACUUGCAGAUAUCUCACCAUGCCCCUCAUCGAUCCUCGUAUUAAUUACAUUUGUAACAAGCUAGGUACAUGAAUUGUAUGCACUAUCUUGAGGGGGAGUGUUAGAAUAUGAAUAGGUUUAUACAAUCUUAUUAGAAUAGGAAUAGGUUUAGACAAUCCUAUUAGAAUAGGAAUAGGAAUAGAAAUAGAAAUAGAAAUAGGAAUACUAAAUAGUAUCCUACUUGGUAAAGGAUUGUAUUCUAGAUUCUAUAAAUAGGGUCUCAAUGUAAUAAUGUAAACCACAACAAUUCAAUAAUAUUCUUUUCCUAUAUUUCUCACACAUGUCACAAACUCAAAAACAAUGGCCAAACAAUUCCCAGCACCCUUCUUAAUUUAUUUAUUUCUUUAUUGUUGUAGUGGUCACAUUCAAUAGACAAUGCACAAGACUGUCGAUUGCUUGCUGCUAGGUUGGUUUUUGUACAAUGGAAGAAAAUCGAAAAUCUGGGAAGCUAUUCACAUUUGCCUAGUCUAACAAAUCUAGUUGGACUCAUGGCCUGGUUUUCAUGAACUCUCUCCAGAUGGAAGAAAGAUAGAUUUUUAAAACACCGUAGUAACUAUUGUCAACUUUUGGUGACAGAUAGGCUAUCUUCUGCAGGGCGAUGCUUCUGACGGAAUUUCUCCUAAGUUCAGAAAAAAUCACUCAUUUAUCUCCAAUGUAUGAACCCCAUAUUCAGGGGAAGAAAACUCAAUCAAACAGGUCACCAUGCGUCAAUUUUUGGUGACUUUCUAGGGUUGUUUUGUGUCAACCCCAUAUACGUCGAUAUUUGUGUAGCACCAUGCCAUCUUUUCAGUGACUACUUUCUUAUAUCUAAUUUGUGUAGCACCGCGCCAUCUUUUCGGUAACUACUCUUUUAUAUUUAAUUUGUGUAGCACCGUGCCAUCUUUCCGGUGACUACUUUUUCACAAUUAAUUUUGUAGCACCGUGCCAUCAUUCGGGUGACUACUUCUCAUAUCUGAUUUGUGUAGCAUCGUGCCAUCAUUCUGGUAACUACUUUCUCAUAUCUUAUAUGUGUAGCACCGUGCCAUCCUUCCAGUGACUACUUUUUCAUAUUUAAUUGUUGUGGCACCGUGCAUCAUUCUGGUGACUACUUUCUUAUAUCUUAUAUGUGUAGCACAAUGCCAUCCUUCCGGUGAUUACUUUUUCAUAUUUAAUUUGUAUAGCACCAUGCCAUCCUUCUGGUGACUACUUUAUUUCAUAUCUGAUUUGCAUAGCACCGUGCAUCUUUUCGAACUACUCCUUCAUAUUUAAUUUGCAUAGUACCAUGGGCUACUUUAUUUCAUAUCCGAGUACCGUGGGAUUUUUCCGAACUACUUUCUCAUAACUGAGCUGCAUAGCACUGUGUCGUUUCAGUGACUCCUCAUAUUUGAUUUGCAUAGUUCCAUUCGUUUUUCUCGUGACUCCUCAAAUCUGAUUUGCGUAGGGUUGUGCCAUCAUUCUAAUCUUACCCGUAUAACUCUCUUUCUCAGUUAGAUCGUGCCAUCAUUCCAACCCUACCCGUAUAAUUUUAUUUUUCAAAUUGUGACCACUUCCCACCAUCAAAUUUAAUACUUCGGCAUAUGAGCAUGUUUAGAUUUUGAGCACUUCCGACAACCACUGCAUUGUGAAGAAAUCUAUAUGGAGCAACCACCUAAUUUUGUUACUCAGGAGGAGUUUAGUAGCCUUGUAUGUCGAUUACGUAAGUCACUCCAUGGUCUGAAAUAGUCUUUGCAAGCUUGAUUUGGGAAGUUCAACACUGUAAUUUUAUCACUCCUUGUUUUAUCAACACUAUGCAUCAAAUUCAGUAUUUCAUGAGAAGACCAAGUUCAUUGAGAUUGACUAACAUUAUACAUCAAAUUCAGGAUUUCAUGAGAAGACUAAGCACAUUGAUAUUGACUAUCAAUUUUGUGAAGUAGAGUGAUCAACUUGCAGAUAUCUCACCAAACUCCUCAUCGGUCAUCAUAUUAAUUACAUUUGUAACAAGCUAGAUACAUAUGAUUUGUAUGCACUAGCUUGAGGGGGAGUGUUAGAAUAGUAAUAGGUAUAUACAAUUCUACUUAGAAUAGGAAUAGGAUUAGUAUAUAGUGUCCUACUUAGAAAAGGAUUGUAUUGUAGUGUCCUAGUUGGAAAAGGUGUCUAUUGUAGCGUUUAUAAAUAGGGGUCUCUCUAUAAUAAUGUAGAGACAACAAUUCAAUAAUAUUCUUUUUCUAUAUUUCUCACAUAUAAUUAGAAUGAUUUUAGGCCAAAAACAGCAAGAAAGACCCAAAAGAUGGAUUGGAGUGCAAAGCAAAGUGUCUCGGACUAAAUUGCAGCCAAUUGGACUGCAACAGAGGAGUUAGUGGGGCGAGGCGGCCUACCGCGCAUUGGGCCUCACCCGCACCUGUUCAAAGCGAAGAUUCAAAGACUUGAUUUUCUUGCGAUGAUUUUGCAAUGCACGAAGGAGGCAAGAGUUUGAGAUAGACCCCGCAUUGCAACCGCGUGAGCCACACGAUGGGAUCCACACCGCAACCACUCUGUUAACCUAACUAAAGUUGACCAAGUCAAAGCAAAGUUCAAUCGAGGUUAGGAUUUCGACCUUAUUGUUAUAUAUAUGUCAUUAAGACAAUGUUUUAAGGGUUAGAAAUUAAUCCUAAGAAUUAGAUAUUGUUAGUAGAAGUUAGGGAUUACUCAUAGCAUAGAAGAUUCAUUAUUCUUCAGUUUUUAGGAUUUAAUUAUAGUGUCUUUAUAGAUUGUUGUGGAAUGAACAUGAUACUCUGGCAAGAGUUGCAUUAAUCAAAGGUGUUGUUUACUUUCUUUUACAUUAAUAUUCUUUAGUAGUUUAAAUUAUAAUAGUUAUUAUUUACAGCUAGAUAUGAGUAGCUAAACUCAUAACUAGGCGUAUGGAAUUUAGAGUAGGAAUGACGAUAAUAGAUUCUUUACACUAAAAUCUUCUCAGGAAGGGUUGAUCCUUGUGUAUUAAGGUUCUUUUGUAAAGAUUGUUUUUAAAUGGUUGCAAACAUAAAGAACUUGUAUGUAAUCUGACUUGCUUGACAAAAGAAAUUAAGGUUAGGAAAAAGGAUCAUUAAUAGGGAUUUGGAGUUUUCAAUCUCCAUAUAAUAGUUUGAGCUAGAGAUAGAAUAGCUAACCUGAAGCUUUUGGUGAAUGGACAAAUUAAUUUGACACCCAAGUGCUAGCAAGGACAUAGGGUGAUAUUCUCUUAAUUGGGCCGAGAGAUUUUAGGAGACAUAGUUUCGUCAGUUUUGCAAUGAAGAGGAACAAAAAUGGUUGCUUUCCAAUCAAACGCUUGGAAGUUUUCGUGUCCCUCAAAAGUCUAAAGAGAACUUUACUCUACUGGAGAGAAUCGUUAAUUGUCAGUCAUAUACAAUAAUUUAGUUGGAACUUGGAACUAUUUAUUGUUACAAUUGUAUGUUUCUUCACUUCUUAAUACACCAAGCAUAUUUUCCCUCAAUUAGUUUUUUUUUUAUUUUUUCAUUUAAUGUGCAGUGGAUAUUUGUUCUAAUUGUGUGUUUCUUCUUUUACAGGCUAAAUUUAUUUAAAAAGAAUUAACUGAAACUCUAUUAUCUUUAGUCAAAUAAAAAGUUUCCUAACUAAUGGAAUUCCAAGUGUGUAUUUGUUUUGUUUCUUCUUUAGAUACAAUGCAUAUUUAUUCUAAUUGUGUAUUUUUCUUUAUCUAGCCAAAUCUAUAGAAAAGAAACUUGGCUACACCACAUGUUUUUAGCCAUCUAAAAGGGUUUUACCCGAAAUAAUGGAGAUUCAACUUAUUUUUCUUUUUAUUUCAUAUUUAGAUGCAAAGACCAUUUAUUACAACUGUGUACUUUUUCUUUUCGAGAAAUAUCUGCAAAUCAAAAUUUAGCGCUUUAUUAUUUUACGCCAAAUACAAGUUCAAAACAGUAAAUAUUCAUUUGUGUAUUUCUUUUUAUUUCAUCUUUUUUUAUGACUGUGGUGUUCGGGCUAGCUUUCGUGCGCCUCACUAAUUCUACGUGAUCCCUACCACCUACCACCAACAACAGGUACCAGGUAACUUUGUCCACCAAUGAUAGGCUAGAUAGGAAGAAUCACCUAGUGAUUUUUGUCUCCGGUUUCUUAUUAUUUCAUCUUUAAUGCAAUGAACUGGCAUUUCCUCUUUAUCGGGCCAAAAAAGAAAGAAUUUGGGUGACACUCCAUUAUGUUUAGUCAAAUAAAAAGAUUAGCUUAAACAAUGGAAUUCCAAACAGGUUUUUACAAAUUUGUCCCCAGGAAAUGAUCCUAAACAUUAAUGAAUAAAGCUCAUCUUGUCUAAGACAACCAUAACCACCCAUCUUGUUCAUCACUUCAUUUUGUAAAGGGACAUGUCAAAGUGUGAAAUUCUAAUGCUACAAACCUUAUUCUUCUACCUAAUUUCUAAGCGUAUCGAAGUCCUGGGACUCCAUUGCGGCAUUAAGUAAGGAGUUGGAAAAAAGUUUACCCGCAUUGGCAUUUCUAAGAAAAUGAAAGACUUUGAAAGAAGGCUUGUCUAUCCCCUUAGAAGAAUAAGGGUCGUAGGGAUAGGACUAAUAAAGUCAAGCCUUAUCUUAAUCUUGCAAGUCUGUUUGUGUGCAUGUCUGCUUUCUUGUUCUCAAGACGGCUUUUCAACGCAUUACCUAGUUGAAUAACUUAUCUUAGUCUGCUUUUUAGGUUCUUGCACCUUAUCCACCUUAUUGAGGUUGGAAUGUGAUAUUUGCCUUCUUAUCCAAAUCUAUCAACACUUUCUCAUCUCGUGCAAAGCGCUAACUAUCUGAAAGAGGGUACGGAGUUGAUCCUCAAACCAUAAGGAUGCAGCUCAUCCUUGGUGAAAGAGAGCACAAAUAGUAAAUCAAAACUUCAACCCUCAUGGCUCCAAUUUCUGAUUUCCUUAUUCUUAAGUUUCCUAGCUUCUAUAAUUUGUAACUCCAUUUAGCCAAAAUUCUCUUUGGGUUCCUUUCUUCUUCAAAAAUUGGAGGCCUUUAGCCCUUUACCACCAUGAUUUUUGUGGAUUCUACAAGUGUGAUAAAUAAUCAAAAAGCACUGAAUUUUCACGACAAUCUUAUAUGUUAGUAAAGACGCCAGAAACUGUUUUUUCUUCUCUCUUUUUUUUGGGUCACUCAAACAUUUAGUCCAUAGAGCCUAAAAUGAAGCAAAAGACAUAACCCAUAUGGGUUUUGACGCGAAAUGCAAAAAUUCUCCAACUUUAAACACAUAUUGACUGCACAUGAUAGGCUAAUUGGUUUCAAACUCAUAGCUUGUGGAAAGAACCAACUCAACAAACAAGCCACUAUAUUGUGGACCAAACAGGAAGACAAUACUCAGAGGCUAAAGUGAUUAGAUAUUUCCAAAAUAACUUCAAGACUUUGCCAUUUAUGAACAUCCAAUAACUUCUCAACCUCUCAUCUCCAAUUUACGCUGAAAACUGUUGAUGUAAUACCAGAUUAAUUAAAGAUUUUUCAUAGCCAACUAUCAUGCUAUUCUAAAACAUUAUUUGUAGAACAAUUUCAAUCAUUGUCAGGAAGCUCGUGUACUUAUCAAAAUUCAAUUAAGCCUCCAGUAAAGCAUUUAUAGCAUUCCAAUAAAGGCUUGUGAUCUCACAUCUAAAAUACAAAUCACUUCUCUUAGGUGCUAAACAUCGACCAAGCUCAACAAUGGAUUGCCUUCCAUAUAUUUCAUAACAUGUUUUUCCCGAAAAUAUGUGCAUGUCCUUUACCAGCUGUGAAGAAGCAUAUGUCUACAAUCUUGAGCUCUUAUCUUUUACCCAAUGAGUAACUUAAGUUGACAUUGCACAACUACAGAAGGCUCAAAUUUCACAAUAACAGCAGUAAAGAGGAUGCAAUGUUGAAAAGUGAGGCUUGAGAGAAAUAAUUGAUCCACGGCUUCUGGGUGUCUAUUUACGAAUCUGAUUCUAGAAGGGCUCCCAAUAACCUUUAUUUCCACCUUUAAGUAACACAGCAAUCUGUUAUGUUCGCUAUAUUACAUUAUGUUUCAAAAGAAUACAAUAGGCAAAAACAAUAACAUGUAACUAACCUGUUCUGCUUAAAGCAUUCAAAUCCAUAUAUAUCCAAAACUCCAAUUUGUAUCAGGGAAUCAGGAUCUUGCCCAACAGAUCUGUUGAUUUUUUCAACUAACCUGAAACAAGCAAGCGAUGUACAAUACUCUUAUAUAAUCAACUUAUAUAAGUAGAACAUUGACUAUUGGAUGCCAUAAAGGAUUUUGGGUUACCAAUCGAAUAAUUGGGCAUAAACAGUUUUCGCUAAAGUAUCACGUCCUGCAACAGCAGCACCACAAUCAAGAGCCUUAAUGAUGAUUCCUUCGUAAGUUUGAAUUGAUCUUGUACAAAGUGUGGUCACCAACAGUUGAACGUCACACCUUAAAGAAAGAGGAAUUGGGGAUCAGUUGGACUGUCAAGACGUUAAGUAAAACAGGAAACUUAACACCCUUAUAAAGCAAUACGACAGAGCUUGAAAGGUUUCAAAUAAUAUCAAUACUGAAGUCCCAAGACAAGAAAUGUAAAGAAGGUAAAGAUAAACAGAAGUCAGCAAUCCCUCAAGGCGGUACAAAUACCACUAAAUCCAAGCAUGGUGAAUAAGAGAGACCAGUCUUACAGUUCAACAAAACUCCAGUUACCUACCCUCUUUUUGAGAGUUCUGAGUUUGAAUCUUCACGUCCCCUAGGCUACAUUUUUUAAAAUAUUAAAUUUUUAUCAAGCAAAAGUUAAAAUAAAAACCCAUAAAUUAGUCCUAUCCUAUAAGACAACAUACACAGUGCUAUCCUUUCCUAAAUAUUUUUCUAAGAUGUCUUAAAAUCAGGAAUAAUGCCAAUACAGAACAGAAAGCAAGAAAAAAAAAUGAAAAGCUAUUGCAAUAACUAUUGAAGAUGACAUAUUGAUUAUAACGAAUUGCCAACUACAUAAAACAGAGAGACAUAUUGAGUGUACCGCAACCAUUUCACCGAUACAAACUGUACAAAUCAAAAUUGAGUAAUGAACAUUAUUCUAAGAUAAAAAAAGCAUCGUUCGCUAAGAGCCGAAGAAGCUUAAGAGAGCGGGCAAUAUAUAAUUAUUUGUCAAGGGAGAAAGAUCAUCAAAGAGAUGAUAAAGGACGUGAUAAUCAUUCAUCAACCAGCAAAAUCAUCAGCAAAUCAGAGAAACAAAAAGCUUAAAUGUGUUGCCAGGAAGAGGAGGAGGAGAAGAAAAACUUACUUAAAAAGCUUAGCAGCCAUCUGUAAAUGAGACCUAGACUUUUCAUCUUUUAUAACUGAUGAAUCAUGUUCUUUGCCCGGAGAGAAUUCUAUGUUUCCUAGAUGUAGAAUGGCUGCCAAUGUACGAAAUAUUGCUUCCUGGUAUUAAAAGAACGAUGCAAUGUAGUAAUUAGUGAUGUAGAAUAGGAAUGCUACUAAAUACAGAAAUACUGAUUAGGAUAACAAACUACAGUUGCAGAACCUGUUCCUCCUGACUAAUUCCAACAAUAUCCAUAGCUCUCCUUGUCUUGGUGUACUCCUCAGCAUUGCUAACUCCAUCUAGCUCAUAGGUUUUGCUCUGGUUCAAGUAGUGAAAGUCACUAGGAUGACCCAGCUUGUAUUUCUCAGCAUCCUGAAGAAGUAAGAACAUAGAAAUGAAAUAACCUUAAACUUUCUCUGAUGGUCAAAUCGCAUAAAUUGGCCACUUAGAACAAUUUAAAUGUGCACAUCAAUGUCACCACAUUGAAGUUAAUACACUCACAAGGAAAAGAAUAUUAGAACACACAUUUCACCUAGGACAUAAAGAAUAUCAUGAAUUAAACAUCAUAACUGAGCACACGGAGGGUAGAAAAUACCAUUCCAGAUGCACAUAAUUGAUAAAAGCAGUGAUAAUUCCUCUCUGGAUCUGUUAGCUGAACAACACGAGAUCUCUCCAGAAGAUAAGUCCGAAUUGCAGCUCCAGAUAUUCUACCACUUGCAUCAAAUUGGAUCUCAACAAACUUGCCAAAACGACUGCAAGAAACAAGGAUUAGAGGCAUUAAUCAUAAUUCAAUAGACCUCAAGAACAAUUUCCCCAUGUUCGAUAUCACUUUACUGAAUAAGUAUGAGUUCAAAGAUUCCAACAAACUAGAAAUAACCAGUUUCAUUGUAAGAAGGUGAAAGACAAGACAAGCAGAGAUUCCAUAUAAAGGACAAAACAAUGCUCUUAAAAAAGACUACAAAACCACCUUCCCUGCUGAAAUAAUGAACAUCACUGAUUGCAUCAAACGAUACAUGUUAGCAAGACCACCAUUAGUAGUUGAAAACACACCUUGAAUUGUCAUUCCUAAUAGUACGUGCAUUGCCAAAGGCCUCCAGCAAUGGGUUAGACUAGACCAAAAAUGAAAAAGGAUUAAGAAUUAGCAACAUAAACUUUUUGAACUGUAAAAUAAUCAACCAAAUUCAAUCAUCAAUGGAACUUGCAAAAAAAAAAAAAAAAAAAANNNNNNNNNNNNNNNNNNNNNNNNNNNNNNNNNNNNNNNNNNNNNNNNNNNNNNNNNNNNNNNNNNNNNNNNNNNNNNNNNNNNNNNNNNNNNNNNNNNNNNNNNNNNNNNNNNNNNNNNNNNNNNNNNNNNNNNNNNNNNNNNNNNNNNNNNNNNNNNNNNNNNNNNNNNNNNNNNNNNNNNNNNNNNNNNNNNNNNNNNNNNNNNNNNNNNNNNNNNNNNNNNNNNNNNNNNNNNNNNNNNNNNNNNNNNNNNNNNNNNNNNNNNNNNNNNNNNNNNNNNNNNNNNNNNNNNNNNNNNNNNNNNNNNNNNNNNNNNNNNNNNNNNNNNNNNNNNNNNNNNNNNNNNNNNNNNNNNNNNNNNNNNNNNNNNNNNNNNNNNNNNNNNNNNNNNNNNNNNNNNNNNNNNNNNNNNNNNNNNNNNNNNNNNNNNNNNNNNNNNNNNNNNNNNNNNNNNNNNNNNNNNNNNNNNNNNNNNNNNNNNNNNNNNNNNNNNNNNNNNNNNNNNNNNNNNNNNNNNNNNNNNNNNNNNNNNNNNNNNNNNNNNNNNNNNNNNNNNNNNNNNNNNNNNNNNNNNNNNNNNNNNNNNNNNNNNNNNNNNNNNNGUGUGCAUCUCACUACAGCGAAGGAAAACACUGAAAAAAGAACCAUGAGGAUGAUCUCCAAGCAACAAGAAUUGAGGUAGCAAUCACGACCUAAUUCACAUUAGAACUUGAUUUGAUGAUGACAGAAGACUAGGCAAGAAACUAAUUGUAGCAAUGAAAGUAAAGGACACUACAAUUUAUUCGACAAGCUUUAGAGUGUCAUAUGCAUAUUGGAUGAAGAAAGAAUGCAGUUAAUUCACGUGUAAGAGGAAGGUUGAUUCUUGGUAUGGUAAUGGAAUAAGAUGUUUGGUUCUUUACAUCUGGAAAAGGAAGGAUGCCGUCCCUCCCAGUCUGAGCCACAUUAGCUUCCUGACGGGAACAUUCAUUAUUGCAUGCAGAUCUAUCAUGAAGCGACCAACAGGCUUCUCUCAUAUGACAUCCCCCAACACCAUAUGUGAAAUGCUUUGACCUCUAUUCCUUUCUUUCGUGGGUGCAUUCUGCAAACUGUUAGACUCAACCGCCAUCCAAUAAGUUUCUGGAGAUGUUACCUCGGGUGUAAUUGAGACGCAUAGAAGUCUGGAUGAAAACAUCCUCCAAAGUAACAAUAGAUGGACUAUUGAGAAUUCAUCUAAAACUGAGCUAUGAUCCAAUCUCAGUCAGAUGAGAGCAAAAACCAAAGAGGAUAUGUCUUUUUAUUUCUCCUUAUCAGUGUUUUUUAAGCGCGUGUAAGCCCUAAAGCGAGGCUCAAAACGUGUUGUAACAUUUUUCCUCGCUUAAUGUGGUUUUGCGAAGUACGUGAUUUUUUUAUAAUAUCACGUACUAAGGAGGCACAAACCCCUCAUGAAUAUGGAUACUGUGAAAGUAUAUAACAAGCCUUUAGCCAGAAGUCAAGCCUCUCAAACAAUUCAAAAUUGAAAAUGGGCAUAGAAAACAAGUUAUUGAGUGAUUCAUAGUGAGAGAAAAAGACCCCAAUAUAUUAUACUUGGUAGUGCACUGCAUGCAACUAUAGCAGAUCUGAGAAAGGAAUUUAUUUACAAUAAGAAGAAUAAACUUGUCAAAUUGGAAAUAGGACGGUCUCAAUUUGGAGAAGAAAUGGCUUAAUGAACACAAUGACAUGUUAGAGUCAAUAAAUGAUAAUAAAGGUAUUUAUACUGCCAAAUCUAGCUAUAAAAUUUUAUUUUCUAUACAACAGGGAGAGGUGACUGUAUAAGGCAAUCUGGGAAAGCAAGGCACCUCCUAAGGUGGCACGCUUUUGGUGGAUUGCAAUCAACAAAACUUGCCUCUCACAGGAUAACCUAAUGAAGUGGAGUAUUUUACUGUAAAAUAGAUGUCAUACGUGUGAAGUUGAAGAAAAAACUAUAGCUAGUUUCUUCCAUAGCUCAUAAAGAAGAAUGUUAUCUGUACUCUGACCCAAUUGAAAGCUGCACUUUCUUGAUGUUUGGUGAAUAAUAAGUCAUACCUGACUGCUUCUUUCAAGUUCUUUUUUAAUAUUAAAAAUAAAAGUUGCUCUCACUAACGGAGACAACAAUAGUCCUUGAAAAAAUAGUACAUGAGAUGAAGUAAUUGAAAAAGACAUUCUAAUGAAGCUAAUAGAUCACCAAGCAAUCAGUCUUAGUGGGAGACGCUCUAUGUCGACAUGCCGAACAAAAAUUGACACCCUUCAAAGAAAAUAAUAGAAAGGACCCUAAUAAUUGAAAUUCCUAAAGUUGCAAACAGAAUCACCAUUUGAUGUUUUGCCUAUAAAACCAGUAAGCAGCAGUACCUCGAGAACUUGUUGUUCAACUGUUCGGUCAUCAGCAGCAGCACGACCACCAACAUAGGUAAGGUAUUGCAUUAUCAACUUUGUGGUCUCCGUUUUCCCUGCUCCACUUUCGCCGCUAACCAAUAUAGAUUGGCUUUGGUUCUCAGACAUCAUAGCCCUAACAAGGAAAAUUUGAGCAAAAACAAAUCACUAAUUGAUUCACUUUAGGUAAACGUCACCAGAUCCCCAAAUGACAAGUCAACAAACCUGUACGAUGCAUCAGCCACAGCAAACACAUGAGGGCUAAGCUCACCAAACGGAGCUCCUUUAUAUUGCUCCAUCAUGUGUACAUUGUACAGAUGUGGAAGUUUAGUGAAUGGAUUGACAGCUAUUAAGAUGCUUCCUGUAUAUGUCUAUUUAAGGAAAAAAGGGGGAAAUCAAUUAUGUUGCAACGCACCCUGUAGGAUGAUGGUGUUAGAGCAUAUGAGAAAAUGGUUAUUUAAGCUAAUGAAGACAAAAAAUGCACCUGAUGAAACCCAACCAGGCGAACGAUGAUUCUUAAAUAAAGCACGUAAUUUGAUGACAGUAGCUUUUGGUUCAACAUUUAGGUAAGCACAACAUAUGUCUGUUAAAGAAUGACAAAAGUCCCACAUCGGUGGUUAAUGAGAUGGAUGGACUCCUUAUAAGGCUUGGGCAAUCCUCCUCCCUUUGAGCUAGCUUUUGGGGUGUGAGUUAGGCCUAAGACCUAAUUUAACAUGGUAUCAGAGUCUCUACGAACUUGGUAGAGAAUUAAAGAGCUUCCGCUGCCGGCGGGUGGCACCCAUAUAUGCUGCCCGUCUGGCCAAUGAUUAUGUUAGCAAAAAGUUGGGUCACCAUGCAUCAUUCUAGUGACACUUUUUUUAUAUCUAAUUUGUGUAGCACCGUGCCAUCAUUCCGGUGACUACUUUUUCAUAUUUAAUUUGUGUAGCACUGUGCCAUCAUUCUGGUGACUACUUUUUCAUAUCUAGUUUGUGUAGUACUGUGCCAUCAUUCCAGUGACUACUUUUUCAUAUAUAAUUUGUGUAGCACCGUACCAUCCUUCCGGUGACACCUUUUUUUGCAUAUCUGAUUUGCGUAGCACCGUGCAUCUCUCCGGACUACUUUUCAUAUUUAAUUUGUGUAGUACCGUGAAUUUUUCCGAACUAUUUCUCAUAUCUGAGUAGCAUAGCAUCAUGUGUCUUUUCAGUGACUCAGAUUUGAUUUGCAUAGUUCCAUUCGUCAUUCCGGUGACUCCUUAAAUCUGAUUUGCAUAGGGUUGUGCCAUCAUUCCAACCCUACCCGUAUAAUUUUCUUUUUCAGUAGGGUUGUGCCAUCAUUCCGACCCUACCC
Molecule: long non-coding RNA, 13122 nt
Filed under: Solanum tuberosum (potato)
Lineage: Eukaryota; Viridiplantae; Streptophyta; Magnoliopsida; Solanales; Solanaceae
Description: long non-coding RNA (STUB_LNC008200)
Source: RNAcentral